This 22-nucleotide non-coding RNA is filed under the name Drosophila melanogaster (fruit fly). Lineage: Eukaryota; Metazoa; Arthropoda; Insecta; Diptera; Drosophilidae. The record is from RNAcentral.
UAGUUUACUUAUUUAUUUGACU